Non-coding RNA from Stegostoma tigrinum, 2303 nucleotides. The record is from the annotation of a RefSeq genome assembly. NCBI's taxonomy places the organism in Eukaryota, Metazoa, Chordata, Chondrichthyes, Orectolobiformes, Stegostomatidae.
GUGUGUUUAAAAAGUUCUUGGCAGAAUCUUUUCUCCCAAGUUACCAGAAUGACAACGUCGACGAUUUUUCUCAGUUUGUUUCUGACUUUCUUAUCCUUUGUCCAGUCGGAGGUUACUUUGACUCAGCCAGAGGCAGGGAACAGCCAACCUGGAGGCUCCCUGAGACUGACCUGUAAAACCAGCGGGUUCGACCUUGGCAGCUACACAAUGUAUUGGGUCCGGCAGGUUCCUGGACAGGGUCUGGAGUGGUUGGUUAGCUACUAUACUUCAUCAAGCAAUGACUAUGCGCCAGCGAUUAAAGAUCGAUUUAGUGCGUCCAAAGACACGUCAAACAACAUCUUCGCGUUGGAGAUGAAGAGCCUGAAGUUCGAAGACACCGCCAUCUACUACUGUGCAAGAGACCACAGAGUGAGGAUUGGAUACUGGGGACAAGGAACCAUGGUGACUGUGACUUCAGUGACACCGUCUUCCCCGAUACUUUAUGGUCUAGCCUCCUGUGAGCACCACAGCACUGACGGUUCUGUUAUUUUUGGGUGUUUGGCGAUGGACUAUUCUCCUGACACCACCAAAGUGACCUGGAAGAAAGGUGGGGAGCCAGUUCCGACUGGAGUUAUGACAUAUCCAUCGGUGAGAAACAAGAAGGGAACUUACACCCUGAGCAGUCAGUUAGUGCUCACUGAAACAGAGGCAGAAUGCGAAAAAAUUAUCUGUGAGGUUCGACACAGCGGAUCCGACACAAGCACUGGAAUGCCAUGUGGUAAUGCCCAUCCAACUAUUCUCGUAACUGUGAGUUCCAGUGAAGAAAUCGAGCACAGAAAAGUUGCAACCAUCGUCUGUUCAGUCUUUGACUUCAAUCCAAAGAAAAUCUCCGUGACUUGGUUGAAGAAUGGAGGGGAGGUAAAAUCUGGUAUCUUCACUUCUGCCGUGUGUGAAACAAAUGGAAACUUCUCAACGACCAGUCAGCUGAGAGUCCCUUAUAGUGAAUGGUUCAACAGAGCAGUCUAUACAUGUCAGGUCGAUCAUGAAGGGCUUAUUCAACGUCUAAACAUCACUGGACCACAGGUUUCAGAGUGCCAUGAUUACACAGCUAAAAUACUACCGCCACCAGUCGAACAGGUCUUACUGGAGGCGACGGUGACGUUAACCUGCAUUGUGUACAACCUUCAUUUUGAAGCCAACUUCACCUGGAGGCACGACAAGAAGACUCUGAAAUCAGAGAUUGUUGACCAGUCCGGAGAGCAGUCGGAAGGAGUGAUCAGCAAGUUAGAUAUUUCGACUGAAGCCUGGCUGAGUGGGGAUACAUUUGAAUGCGUGGUGAACAAUCAGUAUCUACCAACUCCACUGAGGCACUCUAUCCACAAGGAGAAAUUGAUAAAUCCGUUGGAGCCAUCGGUUUCUGUCCUCCUGCCAACGACAGAAGACGUCUCCGCACAGAAGUUUGUUUCGCUCACCUGUUUAGUGAGAGGUUUCAGGCCCCGAGAGAUCUUUGUCAAGUGGACAACCAACGACAAGCCAGUUAAUCCCACUAACUAUAAGAACACCGAGGUGACGGCAGAGAGCGAUAACACCUCCUUCUUCUUGUACAGCCUAUUAUCCAUUGCUGCGGAGGAGUGGGCCAGCGGUGCUUCUUACUCCUGUGUGGUGGGACAUGAAGCGAUUCCAUUGAAGAUCAUCAACAGAACAGUUGAUAAAUCCAGCGAUUCGAUAGAUCAUAAUUGGAUUGAAGAUUUUGAGGAUGAUAACGGCAACAUCUGGGCAACAGCUUCUGCAUUCAUCACCUUGUUCUUCCUGAGCAUUUUCUAUAGUGCUGCUGUCACGCUGGUGAAGGUCAAGUGAAUGAAUUUUCCACGUCAUAGAACUUCGUGGAAGAAAUUUUAUGUGUGUCGAGGCCACUGAGAUCCAAAUAUACCAUCUGUCCUUUUGUUGACACUAGCAGUGAGAUCAAUUCAGUUUGAGAGUGUGUAACUCAGAAACUAUUCAAUGAGUUUUCCAAAUUACCUUGUUUGAUAUCGUCAAGAUAAUUAUUGUUGCAAAAUUUUGUUGCUUCCCAAUUGUUUGAAGACAAUUUGUGCUCUUGUUCUUGUUAUUCCUAAUUCAGAAUUGUUCCCUGUCCUUUUCGUUGAACCCAUUUCUUUUUUUUCCCCCUCUGGUUACUGUUACCGAUGAGCGUAAAAUUCAGAGCUCAGAGCUCAUGCAUUAUCAUCUCCAUGUGGCAUCGAGUCGUUAUGUUCAUUUUUGGUGAUUUUGACAUGAACUUUUCGGUACAAAAGCUGUCUGAAACGGUAAAUAAACCUUCAAUGAAU